GAUGAACGCUGGCGGCGUGCUUAACACAUGCAAGUCGAACGGGAAACCUUUUAUUGAAGCUUCGGCAGAUUUAGCUGGUUUCUAGUGGCGGACGGGUGAGUAACGCGUGGGUAACCUGCCUUAUACAGGGGGAUAACAACCAGAAAUGGUUGCUAAUACCGCAUAAGCGCACAGGACCGCAUGGUCCGGUGUGAAAAACUCCGGUGGUAUAAGAUGGACCCGCGUUGGAUUAGCUAGUUGGCAGGGUAACGGCCUACCAAGGCGACGAUCCAUAGCCGGCCUGAGAGGGUGAACGGCCACAGUGGGACUGAGACACGGCCCAGACUCCUACGGGAGGCAGCAGUGGGGAAUAUUGCACAAUGGGGGAAACCCUGAUGCAGCGACGCCGCGUGAAGGAAGAAGUAUCUCGGUAUGUAAACUUCUAUCAGCAGGGAAGAUAGUGACGGUACCUGACGAAGAAGCCCCGGCUAACUACGUG
Molecule: ribosomal RNA, 478 nt
Filed under: uncultured bacterium
Lineage: Bacteria
Description: partial 16S ribosomal RNA
Rfam family: Bacterial small subunit ribosomal RNA
Source: RNAcentral